Hordeum vulgare subsp. vulgare (domesticated barley) is the source of this 729-nucleotide long non-coding RNA. RefSeq lists it as uncharacterized. NCBI's taxonomy places the organism in Eukaryota, Viridiplantae, Streptophyta, Magnoliopsida, Poales, Poaceae. The record is from RefSeq and is a predicted model, not a curated record. The transcript has 3 exons.
GUCCUUUUCCACAGGAGUUCGAUCGGGAGAGCGCUUCCUGAGCGGCACGGAGCGGAGCGAUUGGUUUUUCUGGAGUGAAGGGUUGCCGGCGAAAGGUGGCGGCGGCGGCCGCCCAAAUCCGCGCCGCGCAGCUUCUCGCCGAGUUCGACUGGUUCGGGGAUGCGGGCGGUUGGGGCGGACGCGCAUCUCUACGACGACCUGGACGCCGUCGCCAUCCCGACGCUCCUCGACUCCCGCAUCGACGGCGAGAAGGUCGACGCUCAAGCGCCUCCUCGCCCUCAUCUCGCGGGGCUUCUACGUCGCCCACCGGGCAGUCAAGAUUCAAGAACGUGUCGACAUAGUCGCUUGGGAUGAAGAAGCUCGUCUACCUCUACCUGCUCCACCAUGCCGAGAAAACAGGAGGUCUGAUGACAUUCAAUUAAGGAAGCAAGAUCAGUUUUGCAUUCUCUGAAAACUGCACUGUAAGACUUACAUUAACCUCUGCGGUGGUAAGCACACACAAGCGGAUCAACAAUACAGCUACCAAGUAGCAAAUCUGGAGAAGUUUUAGUGCUUCUGGUCUGUAGACCAUAUUUCAAGUAACGGUGACAUUAUAUGUCUGCAGCAAAACUUAACAUCCUAGUAGAAUUCAAUGUCCGAAGUAUCCCAAUAUAUUGAUAUCCAUACCAUUCCAAAAUAUGCAGAGCACACAUAGUUCCAUUCCUAAUCAACAUAUGAACAUUUAUUUUA